This 472-nucleotide long non-coding RNA is filed under the name Erythranthe guttata (spotted monkey flower). Its description in RNAcentral is "long non-coding RNA (EGUT_LNC000468)". Lineage: Eukaryota; Viridiplantae; Streptophyta; Magnoliopsida; Lamiales; Phrymaceae. The record is from RNAcentral.
CCUUUCAAUUAUUUUUUUUGAAAAUUACAGAUUCACCCAAUAAAAGACCCAUCUUUCAAUUUAGUCCUUAACAUUUUCAAAAAGCCCUCUUCUCCAAAUCAACCAUUCUGUUACCACAAGUCAUCUUUAUCUUCCCAUUUCCUGCGAGCCCGUGAUAUUGAGAAGGAGAAUCCAAUCGGGUCUUCAGGUUUCAAGAAUCCGGGUUGUCAGAUUGUUUUCUUCUCGUCGACCAUUCAUUCGAGGUGGGGGCGCCGCCGCCGCCGCCUUAUACGACCGUAAGAGGUGUUGGAUUGGAUGGGGAGGAGAUGGUGCCCAUAACACCGACAAUGGGCUGCCGAUUUGGGGAGAUUUUUGCUUGAAUUUAGCAUUGGUUUUGAGGUGGAUGUCGAGAGGACAUCUCCGAAGCCAUAGCCGCCGACGACAAAGGUAUCGUCUCUAAUUUCCAUCUCCAGACUUCAAUUCUUGGUCGGGG